Non-coding RNA from Corylus avellana, 2239 nucleotides. The record is from RefSeq and is a predicted model, not a curated record. Lineage: Eukaryota; Viridiplantae; Streptophyta; Magnoliopsida; Fagales; Betulaceae.
CGUAAGCCCCCAACUUCACAAUGACUCUUCCUCUCUCCGAUUUUUGAUUUAUCAAGAAUUCAUGUUUCUCACUUCACUAGACUGAGUCUUUUUUCUUCUUUUUUUUUGGUUAUUUUCAACCGUUAGAUCUUGAGGGGGUAUUGUCUUGUGGCCAUCGCCAGCAGACCCUUCGCUUAUUCAGGCUUUCAAGGCCAUUGCCACCAUGUCUGACAGCUCUCUCUCUCUCUCUCUCUCUCUCUCUCUCUCUCUGUUUCUUGUAUAAUGGUGAUUUCGUGUUUGGCUGACUAGAAAGUGAGGGAAAAUGAGCGUGUGGAAUAAUAUCGUCUCUCUGUCUUCCUCCCUGUCUCUGAUAACGGUUAAGUUUUGUUUGGAUGAGGAGAAAGUUGUUUUUUUUUUUUAGUAAGUAAUUGCCCCAACUGGCGGGGCGAGGGGAGAUUCGAACUGUGUUUCUAUUGAUUCUAGCAAUCAACUUUUCUUUUUCUUUUUUGAAAAAAAGAAAAAAGAUGCAGCUUGGAAGGAUUUGACUGUGUGUAUUUAGUUGCUGAGAAGAAUAAAUUUUCCCUUUUGUUGGUGGGAAAAUGGAGGUGAUGCAAAUUUUUAAAUGCAAAGCAAAUGGAGGUGUUGAGACACUCUGGAGGAAGGAGAAAGAUGGAAAGACCAUGAAGGAAGCUCAUAAGAAACUGAAGGGUCCUUGUGACUUAGUGUAUUCUUGCAAUCUUUGUUGAUCGGUUUCGUCUUUCUCUGCUAUCAUCCAUAUUGAUAGCGCUUUUCUUCUCCUUUUAGAGCCUUUACUUGCAUGAGAUUAAGAGAGCUCCUUGUCAUUGAUACUUUUUCUUGGAUAACAAGAUUAGGAGAUUUGUUGAAUAGCCUCCUCAUUGUGUGCACAACAGAGCGAAGUGAUUAUCAUCAUGUUUCCACUUUAAACUCAUGCCUCAUGGCCCUUACAACAGGCUUCUAAAAGGCCGUCACUGAAUUGGGAUUUGAUGUACAUAGUUUUUGUCCUCUUCUCAGAAGUUAAGGUAAUCCAUUUCAUUAUUAUUGCUAUUGCCUUUCUUUUUGCUUUUGUCCAUUGUCGUUGUUCUUAGCUUCUCGUAUUCAGUUUUCUGAAAGAAUUGACAACAAAAUUUGUGGUUCGUUUUCAUAUUGUUCAAACGUGUACUUUGGAAUACAUUCUUCAGCAGUGUAGGACUGGCUUGGGUUAUGCCUAGAAGGGUGGUAGACCUCUUUGCUUGUUGGAGAGCGCCUGGGGGUAGGUCCUAAUUUGACACAGUCUGAAAGAUUAUUCCGCCUUGCCUUAUGUGGUGUAUAUGGAGGGAAAAAAGAAACAAUUGUAGCUUUAAGGAACAUGAGAGGACCUUAGUGGCAUUAAAGACUUCAUUCUUUUAAACUCUUUCUUUGGGCCACUGCCUCAGAGUCUAGGUUUUUGAAUUUUCUUGUAUUCUUAGAUCUCUUCUCCACUUCUAGCUAUACUUCUCUCUUGUAUAUUGAGAGCAAGCCAUUUCACACGGAAGACUAUGGAUGGCCCCUCAAGCAAGGACUGGGGGGUAGAAGAGCUGCUUCCUUCAACAUUACUCCUAGCAGCACCGGAGCUGCGUAGGUAGUUAAUAACUUCUUAUUUGCAAUGUUGCUUGCUGUAAAUGUUGUUGUGCAUAAAUAUCUACUGCAAUUGGUAUUCAUUUUCAGAAGAGUAUACCAUAUUUAGCAGCCUGUCUAAUUGAUGAGUAUUAUUUUGUGGUCGAAUAGGCUGUUAGAAAAGUUAUUCUGAAACUUAAUGGCCUUUCGAAGAAGGCAACCUAGCAGGAGACCAAAAAUGCUAUCGAGUUUUGGAGUAUCAAUCUUGUACCCUUGGACUUUGCAAGUGUUAUUUUCUGUUGUUUAUUGAAUGAGUAUAUAGGGAAUGCUUUCUUAUCAUACUUCAUGAUGCAUAUAUAUAUAUUUCAAUCUGUCAAUGCUCAGGGAGGAGUCCGAGGGCAAGCUUGCAUUUUGGGUUACACUGAAGAUGAUGUGGUGUCUACUGAUUUCAUUGGUGAUAGCAGGUAGAUUAUUGUUUUUAAUGUAAUAUCCUAUAGUUGUUUGGCUUAGCUUAUGUUUUGGAGAAUCUAAAUAUCUAUAAUUUUAUCUUUUCUUGAAAAUGAAGCCCUAAUUCUACUUGUAACCAUGUUACACUCCUGGUUUGAAGAGCCAGUAAAUGCGAUUCUAUGACAGUACCUAUUGUUUUCUGAGUGAAUUCGAAAGUUUA